UGGUGACGAAAUGAGAUGUACUGGUUAUGCCAUUGUUUCGCACAAAUUAGUUUGGCCUAUAUUCAAACAAUAAUUCGAAUUUUAUAUAAUCAUAAGCCAAAGCUCUUUUUUUUUUUCAACAGAAAGAAUGAACUUCUCUUUGGUAUCGAUCUAAACUAAACUGUUGCCCUUAACAUUUUAUGUAUUUAUGAAUUUAUUUUAUUUUAUUAAUUAUGUAUCGUCC
RNAcentral lists this long non-coding RNA (223 nucleotides) under Manihot esculenta (cassava). RNAcentral describes it as "long non-coding RNA (MESC_LNC009005)". The record is from RNAcentral. Lineage: Eukaryota; Viridiplantae; Streptophyta; Magnoliopsida; Malpighiales; Euphorbiaceae.